CCACGGGAGUUCCGCAGCCGCCGCCUUACCGGAACCCAAGAGACCACCUGUACGCGGAGAACGCUGGGGCGCGGCGGGUCGGCCCCUGACGCCAUAAGCUGCGAUGGAACCUAACCUCUGUGCCCCUUCAAUGUGGAACAUGUGGUCAUCAAAGAAGAUGUGGGGCCGGAUCUUCACCAAGAUGGGACUUUUGGGGGCUCCAGCAAGGAAAAGAGCUUCGUCUAUCUCUAGACCCCAGCGUCGAAGGGUCUUCAGCACACGGGCGCCUGAACUGGCUGCACUCCUAGCUGUAACCAGGUAGGUCCUGAUAGGACAAAGUAACCGUUCAUUUUUGGCAUAGAACUUCUUUUGCAGUCUGCCUAAAUCUUCCAGAAAGCCUUUUAGGGGACCCUGUAAAAGGAACAUAUAUCACAGCUGUGAUACAGUGAGCCAAAGAAAGUGAAUGCUAAAAAGCAGAGACCUAUAUGAUACGAUACAAUACAAAGGAUAUAAUACAGCAUGACAUGCAGUGUUAUGAAGCUGAUGGCAAAAUGCUAAAACUUGAUAGGAAUUUAUGUGAAUAUGUUUUCUGAUAUAGAACCAUCCUUGCAUUCCUGGAAUGUGCCUAAAAUGACCAUAUUAUUUAACAUGUAAACCUAUAUACUUUAGGUAUGAAAGAAUGUUCAAUAAAUACUUAAGCCAGGACAACAGACAUAAACUAUCCAUGGUAAGCUGGAAUAGAGGGUCACUCUAAAUAAACUCUAAUUAGUUACCAAAGCACUACUCUUUUAAUUUGCUUUUUGUGAAUUGUGCAUUUUAACUUUAUGAAGUAUAUGCUUUUGUCUAGUUUAAUGCUGUUUGGCUUGAAUCUAACUGUGUCUUUCAUUUUUAACCUUUCCAAACACUUGGUUUUAGUAUCUCUUGUACAGAGCCUAGAAUUGGAUUUUGCUAUGUGAUACAACCUGAAAAUCUUAUUUUUUAAAACAAUAGUUAAGUUUUUGUUCAUUUACAUUUAUUCAUAUUACAAACAUACUUGAGAUUGUUUCUGUCUUAUGGUUUUUAUUGCAUUUUCCAUGUUUUAAAAUUUUUAAAGGAUUGUUCAAUA
This 1084-nucleotide long non-coding RNA is filed under the name Homo sapiens (human). RNAcentral's name for it is "HSALNT0300843". The record is from RNAcentral. Lineage: Eukaryota; Metazoa; Chordata; Mammalia; Primates; Hominidae.